AGAGUUUGAUCCUGGCUCAGGAUGAACGCUGGCGGCGUGCCUAACACAUGCAAGUCGAGCGGAGUUAUUUUCAGGAAGCUUUCGGGUGGAAUGAACUUAACUUAGCGGCGGACGGGUGAGUAACGCGUGGACAACCUACCCUGUACAGGGGGAUAACAAUGGGAAACCAUUGCUAAUACCCCAUAACACCCUUUAGGGGCAUCCCUUUAAGGUCAAAGAAUUUCGGUACAGGAUGGGUCCGCGUCUGAUUAGCUAGUUGGUGAGGUAAUGGCUCACCAAGGCGACGAUCAGUAGCCGGCCUGAGAGAGUGAACGGCCACACUGGAACUGAGACACGGUCCAGACUCCUACGGGAGGCAGCAGUGGGGAAUAUUGCACAAUGGGCGAAAGCCUGAUGCAGCAACGCCGCGUGAGCGAUGAAGGCUUUCGGGUCGUAAAGCUCUGUCCUAAGGGAAGAUAAUGACGGUACCUUAGGAGGAAGCCCCGGCUAACUACGUGCCAGCCGCCGCGGUAAUAC
RNAcentral lists this ribosomal RNA (516 nucleotides) under uncultured Clostridiaceae bacterium. RNAcentral's name for it is "bacterial SSU rRNA". It matches the Rfam family "Bacterial small subunit ribosomal RNA", at positions 8 to 526 of the family's 1533-position model. The record is from RNAcentral. Lineage: Bacteria; Bacillati; Bacillota; Clostridia; Eubacteriales; Clostridiaceae.